Molecule: ribosomal RNA, 156 nt
Filed under: Phomopsis sp. Vega425
Lineage: Eukaryota; Fungi; Ascomycota; Sordariomycetes; Diaporthales; Diaporthaceae
Also listed under: 1 other name
Description: 5.8S ribosomal RNA
Rfam family: 5.8S ribosomal RNA
About the family: 5.8S ribosomal RNA (5.8S rRNA) is a component of the large subunit of the eukaryotic ribosome. It is transcribed by RNA polymerase I as part of the 45S precursor that also contains 18S and 28S rRNA. Functionally, it is thought that 5.8S rRNA may be involved in ribosome translocation.
Source: RNAcentral
ACUUUCAACAACGGAUCUCUUGGUUCUGGCAUCGAUGAAGAACGCAGCGAAAUGCGAUAAGUAAUGUGAAUUGCAGAAUUCAGUGAAUCAUCGAAUCUUUGAACGCACAUUGCGCCCUCUGGUAUUCCGGAGGGCAUGCCUGUUCGAGCGUCAUUU